UAUGUACUCCCUCCGUCCCAAAAUUCUUGUCUUAUAUUUGUCUAGAUACGGAUGUAUCUAACACUAAAACAUAAUACAUCCGUAUUUAGACAAAUCUAAGACAAGAAUUUUGGGACGGAGGGAGUACGAU
This is a non-coding RNA of Triticum urartu, 130 nucleotides long. Lineage: Eukaryota; Viridiplantae; Streptophyta; Magnoliopsida; Poales; Poaceae. The record is from Rfam.